Molecule: ribosomal RNA, 305 nt
Filed under: uncultured bacterium
Lineage: Bacteria
Description: bacterial SSU rRNA
Rfam family: Bacterial small subunit ribosomal RNA
Source: RNAcentral
UUUACCUACGGGGCGCAGCAGUGGGGGAUAUUGCACAAUGGGGGAAACCCUGAUGCAGCGACACCGCGUGGGUGAAGAAGCGUUUCGGUAUGUAAAGCUCUAUCAGCAGGGAAGAGAAUGACGGUACCUGACUAAGAAGCCCCGGCUAACUACGUGCCAGCAGCCGCGGUAAUACGUAGGGGGCGAGCGUUAUCCGGAUUUACUGGGUGUAAAGGGAGCGUAGACGGUUCUGCAAGUCUGAAGUGAAAGCCCGUGGCUUAACCGCGGAACGGCUUUGGAAACUGUGGAACUGGAGUGCUGGAGAG